This is a non-coding RNA of Chlorocebus sabaeus (green monkey), 3260 nucleotides long. NCBI's taxonomy places the organism in Eukaryota, Metazoa, Chordata, Mammalia, Primates, Cercopithecidae. The record is from RefSeq and is a predicted model, not a curated record.
GCUGGUGCCCGUUCUCGCCUCCCAGCGACCAGCCAGUUGCCAGCUGCUGGGGAGAAUGAGCUUGGAGCCGCAGGGCUUAAUCCCGCGCGGCUCAGAGAUGGGUUUCUGGACUCGCGAAGCAGCUGCAACAAGGCAUCACUCACUGUACAAGUAUUUCCAUUUCUGAGAGCAAAAGGAAGAACUUAAGCGGGCGGCACUUGGAGUGUAAAUUGCUUUGUAGUAUUUAAAGGCAGAAUGGAUCCUGGGCAGCCGAGCUGCAUGGCCUCCUUAGGAAGGAUUCGGCUUAGACGUGGAGAGGAAGACUGAGUGCCUGUGUGUAUGACUGAGUAUCAAUCAAUCCAAAUUCCAAAGAGUACUACAGAAACAAGACUUACGUACAUUAUUUUCCACCUUUCCCAGAUAAAAACCUUCAAAUAUAAUCCUACCACAAGACAUGGCAAGAGAAAUACGGACCGUUAACUACAACAACAAUCCCAAAUUCUGAGUUCUAUAUGAGGAACCCCCAGAUGGAAUGUCAGACUGUGGUCUUCUGCCUCCUAAGCUAUUACAAAUAAAGCUGUUCUGAAUAUUUGUGUACAAGUCACUACAUGAACAUAUAUGCUAAUUCUCAGGCAAAUAUCUAAGAGCAGAAUUGUUGGAUCAUAUUAUAGAAACGUUCUUGAAGAUAUACUCAGAAGUAAUGUUUUACCAGCUAUCUGGGCAUCCUUUAGCUCAGUCAAGUUGAUGCAUAAAAUUAACCAUCACAAGUUGCUUCCCCCUUCUUUACUAUGAAAAGUCAACUUUUGAGCCUUUUCUUAAAUGCCAUAUCUCCUGGGAGGCUUUUUCUAACUCACAGGUAGAGAUGGAUAUUCUGAAGCCUUAAAUUUGUACCUUGGUCACACAACAAACCAGCAGGACUUCCUGUGAAAUCAUGACCCCCAUGUGCUCUUUCAGCCCCCAUCAAUUCGUACCUCUAAGCACCUGAGAGCCAAAGUAAACCACAGGAAACCACAGGUACUAACUCUUUUAGACCCGAUGAAGUGUCUCCCAAAGACAGUCUGGCAUGACUCAAACUAAACAUCAUCUUUUCCUGGCUCUCAAUCCUGCUGGUCCCUGAACUAAAACGCACAUUAUCAACUCUACUUGUUCUUAGUCCUUUGGAGUCAGACUGGGACUACACCAUUGACUCUUCCGAAACUCCAGCUUACUGACUACAGAUCUUGGAACUUUUCAGCUUCCACAACCAUGAAAGUUAUGUAACAUGUCAAGAGUGAAGAAUGAGUUUGGAAAAGUUGCUCUUCAUGGCAUUCUUUUACUGUGAACCUCGAAUGGUGUGCUUGAGCCGUUGGAAGCAGGCUGAAACAAUUGGAAAACACUGAAUUAGUGGGAGGACUUUGUGGAAGACUGAACUGAAGAGUGAUAGAAGAGCAUAUCUGGUAGGAGAAAUUUCUAAGUAGAAAAAUUCUCAGGACGGUGCAUGUUUACUUCUAAGUGCUUACAGAGAGCUGCUAAAGAAAACAGAAGAAGAAAACAAAUACUUGGAAAAUUUGCAUUUGACUAUGUGGUAGAAUAAAAAAGCUUUUUCAGGAGAGAAAAUCAAUUAUGUGGCCCAGAGACCACUUGCUAAGGAAAUUAAUAUGUCUAAAAUGGAGCCAGUUGCUAAUCAUCAAGACAAUCAGAAACGGGCCCAAAGGUCAUCUCAGAGAUCUUUAAGUCUGCAGCUUCCAUCACAGACCCAGAGGCCUAUGAGGGCAGAAUUGUUUGGGGGAUUAAGUCCAGGAUGCCCUUCCCCUGUUUGCUGCCCAUGGCUGCCUUAGAACCCUGCUUCUGCAUUCUUACACAGUGCACUUUAGCCACACAGCUUUCUGGUGGCCCCAGGUGUGGUUCCACCCAUGGCUCUGUCCCCUGUUUCAGAAUAUGCAAGUGGCAGAUCUUGAUGGGGUCCACAUAGUGCUAAUUCUGUAGGUAUACAGAAUGCUAGAACAGCAGAAGUAUAGUAAGAUUCCCUUACAUUUCAAAGGAUGUAUGGACUGCCUGGAAGCCUGGACAGAAACCUGCUGCACAGGUAAAGACACUACAGAGAUUCCCUCCCAGAAGAAUAUCUGUGGAGCCAUUAAAAUAGGGCUCAAAAUCUGUCAAGUCACUAACAUUGUGCAAUGCCUACCUGGAAAAGACACAGGCAUUGGUGUGAAACUCCAAACCAUGAGAGCCGCUGUGCAAACUGCACCAAGCAAAGCUAGAGCUGUGGGGCUGCCUGAGACCUUGGGGGUCCAACCCCUGCACCAGUGUGCUCAGGAUGUAGGUCAUGGAGUCAAUGAACAUUAUUCUCUAACCUUAAGAUUUAAUAUCUUCCCUGAUGGGCUUUUAGCUUGCUUUGAGAAAGUUACCCUGUUCUUCCUAUUUCUCCCUUUUAGAAUGAGAAUGUGUACGCACUUCCUGCUCCACUACUGUACCUUGGGAGCAGAUAACUUGUUUUUGAUUUUAGAGCCUUACAGCUGGAAGAAGUUUGCCUUGAGUCUCAGAUGAGACUUUGGACUUUGGCCUUUUCAGUUGAUGCUGGAACAAGUUAAGACUUUGGGGACUAUUGUGAUGGAAUGAUUGUAUUUUGUAUUAUAAAAAGGGAGUGUGUUUUAGGGAAGCCAGAGGGAGAAUGUUGUGGUGAAUAUGGUUUGUCUCCACUGAAAGUCCUGUCAUGUGUUGGUACCCAAGGUAGUACUGUUGGGAGGCAGUGCCCUUAAGAUGUGAUUAGGACAUUAAGAAUAAUUAAUGCUUUUGUUUGUUUGUUUGUUUCUUUGUUUCUUUGUUUUUCAGGUGCGCUUUCUUGCUCUCAUGAGACUUGAUUUGUUAUCACACAGCAGACUGUUACACAGUGAGGGUGCCUCUCAUGUUUGGUCUCUUUUUACAUAUGCCUAUUUCCCCUUCUGCUUCUUCUCCACGUUGUGAUGCAGCAUUAGGCUUUCACCAGAAGCUAUCCAGAUGCAGCUACCCAAUCUUGAAGCAUCCUUAUUGGAGAACCAUAAGCUAAAUAAAACUCUUUCCUUUACAAAUAACACAGUCUCAGGUUUCUGUUAUAGUAACACAAAAUGGAUUAAGAUAACAAUCUACAGAAUGGGAGCAAAUAUUUGCAAAUUAUACAUCUGGUAAGAGGUUAAUAUCCAAAAUAUGUAAAGUAAUCCUAGAAUUCAACAGGAAAAAAAUAAAUCAACCCCAUUUAAAAAAUAAGCAAAUAACUAGAAUAGACUUUUCUCUAAAGAGAUAUACAAAUGGACAAUAAGUACACA